RNAcentral lists this ribosomal RNA (2922 nucleotides) under Staphylococcus aureus subsp. aureus USA300_TCH1516. RNAcentral's name for it is "bacterial LSU rRNA". It matches the Rfam family "Bacterial large subunit ribosomal RNA". The record is from RNAcentral. Lineage: Bacteria; Bacillati; Bacillota; Bacilli; Caryophanales; Staphylococcaceae.
UUAAGUUAUUAAGGGCGCACGGUGGAUGCCUUGGCACUAGAAGCCGAUGAAGGACGUUACUAACGACGAUAUGCUUUGGGGAGCUGUAAGUAAGCUUUGAUCCAGAGAUUUCCGAAUGGGGGAAACCCAGCAUGAGUUAUGUCAUGUUAUCGAUAUGUGAAUACAUAGCAUAUCAGAAGGCACACCCGGAGAACUGAAACAUCUUAGUACCCGGAGGAAGAGAAAGAAAAUUCGAUUCCCUUAGUAGCGGCGAGCGAAACGGGAAGAGCCCAAACCAACAAGCUUGCUUGUUGGGGUUGUAGGACACUCUAUACGGAGUUACAAAGGACGACAUUAGACGAAUCAUCUGGAAAGAUGAAUCAAAGAAGGUAAUAAUCCUGUAGUCGAAAAUGUUGUCUCUCUUGAGUGGAUCCUGAGUACGACGGAGCACGUGAAAUUCCGUCGGAAUCUGGGAGGACCAUCUCCUAAGGCUAAAUACUCUCUAGUGACCGAUAGUGAACCAGUACCGUGAGGGAAAGGUGAAAAGCACCCCGGAAGGGGAGUGAAAUAGAACCUGAAACCGUGUGCUUACAAGUAGUCAGAGCCCGUUAAUGGGUGAUGGCGUGCCUUUUGUAGAAUGAACCGGCGAGUUACGAUUUGAUGCAAGGUUAAGCAGUAAAUGUGGAGCCGUAGCGAAAGCGAGUCUGAAUAGGGCGUUUAGUAUUUGGUCGUAGACCCGAAACCAGGUGAUCUACCCUUGGUCAGGUUGAAGUUCAGGUAACACUGAAUGGAGGACCGAACCGACUUACGUUGAAAAGUGAGCGGAUGAACUGAGGGUAGCGGAGAAAUUCCAAUCGAACCUGGAGAUAGCUGGUUCUCUCCGAAAUAGCUUUAGGGCUAGCCUCAAGUGAUGAUUAUUGGAGGUAGAGCACUGUUUGGACGAGGGGCCCCUCUCGGGUUACCGAAUUCAGACAAACUCCGAAUGCCAAUUAAUUUAACUUGGGAGUCAGAACAUGGGUGAUAAGGUCCGUGUUCGAAAGGGAAACAGCCCAGACCACCAGCUAAGGUCCCAAAAUAUAUGUUAAGUGGAAAAGGAUGUGGCGUUGCCCAGACAACUAGGAUGUUGGCUUAGAAGCAGCCAUCAUUUAAAGAGUGCGUAAUAGCUCACUAGUCGAGUGACACUGCGCCGAAAAUGUACCGGGGCUAAACAUAUUACCGAAGCUGUGGAUUGUCCUUUGGACAAUGGUAGGAGAGCGUUCUAAGGGCGUUGAAGCAUGAUCGUAAGGACAUGUGGAGCGCUUAGAAGUGAGAAUGCCGGUGUGAGUAGCGAAAGACGGGUGAGAAUCCCGUCCACCGAUUGACUAAGGUUUCCAGAGGAAGGCUCGUCCGCUCUGGGUUAGUCGGGUCCUAAGCUGAGGCCGACAGGCGUAGGCGAUGGAUAACAGGUUGAUAUUCCUGUACCACCUAUAAUCGUUUUAAUCGAUGGGGGGACGCAGUAGGAUAGGCGAAGCGUGCGAUUGGAUUGCACGUCUAAGCAGUAAGGCUGAGUAUUAGGCAAAUCCGGUACUCGUUAAGGCUGAGCUGUGAUGGGGAGAAGACAUUGUGUCUUCGAGUCGUUGAUUUCACACUGCCGAGAAAAGCCUCUAGAUAGAAAAUAGGUGCCCGUACCGCAAACCGACACAGGUAGUCAAGAUGAGAAUUCUAAGGUGAGCGAGCGAACUCUCGUUAAGGAACUCGGCAAAAUGACCCCGUAACUUCGGGAGAAGGGGUGCUCUUUAGGGUUAACGCCCAGAAGAGCCGCAGUGAAUAGGCCCAAGCGACUGUUUAUCAAAAACACAGGUCUCUGCUAAACCGUAAGGUGAUGUAUAGGGGCUGACGCCUGCCCGGUGCUGGAAGGUUAAGAGGAGUGGUUAGCUUCUGCGAAGCUACGAAUCGAAGCCCCAGUAAACGGCGGCCGUAACUAUAACGGUCCUAAGGUAGCGAAAUUCCUUGUCGGGUAAGUUCCGACCCGCACGAAAGGCGUAACGAUUUGGGCACUGUCUCAACGAGAGACUCGGUGAAAUCAUAGUACCUGUGAAGAUGCAGGUUACCCGCGACAGGACGGAAAGACCCCGUGGAGCUUUACUGUAGCCUGAUAUUGAAAUUCGGCACAGCUUGUACAGGAUAGGUAGGAGCCUUUGAAACGUGAGCGCUAGCUUACGUGGAGGCGCUGGUGGGAUACUACCCUAGCUGUGUUGGCUUUCUAACCCGCACCACUUAUCGUGGUGGGAGACAGUGUCAGGCGGGCAGUUUGACUGGGGCGGUCGCCUCCUAAAAGGUAACGGAGGCGCUCAAAGGUUCCCUCAGAAUGGUUGGAAAUCAUUCAUAGAGUGUAAAGGCAUAAGGGAGCUUGACUGCGAGACCUACAAGUCGAGCAGGGUCGAAAGACGGACUUAGUGAUCCGGUGGUUCCGCAUGGAAGGGCCAUCGCUCAACGGAUAAAAGCUACCCCGGGGAUAACAGGCUUAUCUCCCCCAAGAGUUCACAUCGACGGGGAGGUUUGGCACCUCGAUGUCGGCUCAUCGCAUCCUGGGGCUGUAGUCGGUCCCAAGGGUUGGGCUGUUCGCCCAUUAAAGCGGUACGCGAGCUGGGUUCAGAACGUCGUGAGACAGUUCGGUCCCUAUCCGUCGUGGGCGUAGGAAAUUUGAGAGGAGCUGUCCUUAGUACGAGAGGACCGGGAUGGACAUACCUCUGGUGUACCAGUUGUCGUGCCAACGGCAUAGCUGGGUAGCUAUGUGUGGACGGGAUAAGUGCUGAAAGCAUCUAAGCAUGAAGCCCCCCUCAAGAUGAGAUUUCCCAACUUCGGUUAUAAGAUCCCUCAAAGAUGAUGAGGUUAAUAGGUUCGAGGUGGAAGCAUGGUGACAUGUGGAGCUGACGAAUACUAAUCGAUCGAAGACUUAAUCAA